GGGAGGAUUACCCGUGCCAGGGAGUUUUGAAGCAAAGGAUUGCUCUCUGUUGAGGGUCAGGAUGUGGUGUCUCCCCACAUUCUUACUUAUCUCUUCCUCUGGCUGUGUAUGGCCCUGUUGGAGUGGUGGGGUUCCCCAGCUGGGUGUGGUGGAAGGGGGUGGGCUGUGCCUCUUCUGGGGCGGCUGUUGGUGCUGUGUCCAGCUGUAUGACUCCUGUUCUUCCCCUGCUCACUCUGUCCACAGCCCUGACACUCCCAUUCCCUCAAUCGGCUACAGCAAGGCAUGGACAAUGCUAAGACAACGGUGUCAAAUCCCAAUGAUGACAGUAAAAAACAGUUCUUCCCUUUGUGGAACUUGUCUGCUCCAUUACAAUUGCAGCUGUCAGUUGGCAUCCAUGCACUCUUGCCUGAUCAGACAGAAAGAAGGAGCCAUGAGGAGUUCAGAGUGGAUCAGCUCCUUCAGAGACCAAGCAUACCAUCUCUGAAGAGCUGCCUUGUCUCUCUCGUCCCACAGAGGGCAAGUUUUGAAGCAGCCAUCGACAACUGCAGAUUGAAUGGACUGAGGUCAGACAUGGACAUCAAGAUGUACUAUUUCACGUGUUUCUAAUCAUCCUGGAUCAUGGGUUCUCAAACUUUCUCAUAACAAGGAUCAUCUCUUACUAGAGAAUGUGUCUCAUAGACAUCUCUCCCAUUUGUGACUGCCUGACUACAGCAAUUGCUUAAAUGCGAAAAUAAUGUUAAGACUGCAUGAAUGUAUCUUUAGCUGUCUUCUCCAGCUGCUAAACUUCAUUAACUGAAAUGAGCCAGCAUCAUGUGACUCCAGCCAGCUUUCCUCAGGCCACCAGAAAGCCCUACAUUCGGGAACCUCUGCUUCAGACAAACUUAAAAGGUUUUAAAUACUGGUAAGUCCAUCUGGUACCAACUGUAAAUAAUAAAUACUGAAGACAGUGAUUUCAGUUAUGCCUUAACCUGGAUCAAAUCUGGCCCGUGUCUCCUCUAUACAAUGGUCUCUUCUGAAAAUAUGAACAAACAAUGGUGUCAAUGGCUCGUUAGAUGGAAAUAUAAACUGUACCUGCA
Caretta caretta (loggerhead turtle) is the source of this 1076-nucleotide long non-coding RNA. RefSeq lists it as uncharacterized. NCBI's taxonomy places the organism in Eukaryota, Metazoa, Chordata, Testudines, Cheloniidae. The record is from RefSeq and is a predicted model, not a curated record.